Mytilus californianus (California mussel) is the source of this 252-nucleotide long non-coding RNA. RefSeq lists it as uncharacterized. Lineage: Eukaryota; Metazoa; Mollusca; Bivalvia; Mytilida; Mytilidae. The transcript is spliced from 3 exons. The record is from RefSeq and is a predicted model, not a curated record.
GCCAAUUUGAUUACCACAACAAGUUAACAGUUGCUCUAAGCAGUGCAAAAUGAUGUCUUACCAAUAAACCCAUGUCUGAAAAAUACAUAUCGGGUAAAAAGAAUAAACAUGCCUUUGGUGGUUCAAGCUUGUUUGAAAUAAUAAGAGGAUGCUGUAGUUACGAAUGUGCAACGGAGACCACAAUAUGGAACUACUGUGCAAGAUGCCUAAAAUAUGCCCCUGAAAUAUCUGGGAAUGUGUCUAGCAGAAGGA